RNAcentral lists this ribosomal RNA (445 nucleotides) under uncultured bacterium. RNAcentral describes it as "partial 16S ribosomal RNA". It matches the Rfam family "Bacterial small subunit ribosomal RNA", at positions 354 to 796 of the family's 1533-position model. The record is from RNAcentral.
GUGAGGAAUAUUGGUCAAUGGACGAGAGUCUGAACCAGCCAAGUCGCGUGAAGGAAGACGGUUCUAUGAAUUGUAAACUUCUUUUGUGCAGGAAUAAAGUGGGUUACGUGUAACCUUUUGUAUGUACUGUACGAAUAAGGAUCGGCAAACUCCGUGCCAGCAGCCGCGGUAAUACGGAGGGUGCAAGCGUUAAUCGGAAUCACUGGGCGUAAAGCGCGCGUAGGCGGCCUUGUAUGUCGAUUGUGAAAGCCCCGGGCGCAACCUGGGAGCUGCAGUCGAAACUGCAAGGCUUGAAUGUUGGAGAGAUUGGGGGAAUACCUAGUGGAGAAGGGAAAUUCGUAGAGAUUAGGUGGAAAACCAGAGGCGAAGGCGCCUGACUGGCCAAACAUUGACGCUGAGGCGCGAAAGCGUGGGUAGCAAACAGGAUUAGAAACCCGUGUAGUCC